UACGGGGGGAGCAAGCGUUGUUCGGAUUUACUGGGCGUAAAGGGCGCGUAGGCGGUCAGCACAAGUCGGUUGUGAAAUCUCCGAGCUUAACUCGGAAAGGUCAACCGAAACUGUGCGACUAGAGUGCAGAAGGGGCAACUGGAAUUCUUGGUGUAGCGGUGAAAUGCGUAGAUAUCAAGAGGAACACCUGCGGCGAAGGCGAGUCUCUGGACAUUUCCUGACGCUGAGGCACGAAAGCCAGGGGAGCAAACGGG
Molecule: ribosomal RNA, 254 nt
Filed under: uncultured bacterium
Lineage: Bacteria
Description: partial 16S ribosomal RNA
Rfam family: Bacterial small subunit ribosomal RNA
Source: RNAcentral